RNAcentral lists this ribosomal RNA (1093 nucleotides) under Schmidingerella taraikaensis. RNAcentral's name for it is "partial Bacterial large subunit ribosomal RNA". It matches the Rfam family "Bacterial large subunit ribosomal RNA", at positions 1 to 1119 of the family's 2925-position model. Lineage: Eukaryota; Ciliophora; Spirotrichea; Tintinnida; Rhabdonellidae. The record is from RNAcentral.
UAAGCAAAUAAGAGCAAUCGGUGGAUGCCUUGGCUCCUAAUAGCGAUGAAGGACGUGAUAAGCUGCGAUAAGCCAUGUUGAGGUGCAAAUGACCUUUGAGACAUGGAUUUCCGAAUGGGGUAACCCAUCUCGAUGAAGUCGAGAUACCUUCGGGUGCUAACCUGGUGAACUGAAACAUCUAAGUAACCAGAGGAAUAGAAAACAAUAGUGAUUCCCUAAGUAGUGGCGAGCGAACGGGGAAUAGCCCAAACCAAUGAUGUCUAGGCAUUGUUGGGGUUGUAGGACUACAUAAUCUGACGGGAUUGAGUUUGGAACAGAUCUGGAAAGUUCGUCCAAAGAGGGUGAUAGGCCCGUACAAACUUGAGACAAUAAGUGGUAGUAUCCUGAGUAGCGCGGAACAUGUGUAAUUCUGUGUGAAUCUGCCAGAACCAUCUGGUAAGGCUAAAUAUGUUAGGAGACCGAUAGUGAACUAGUACUGUGAAGGAAAGGUGAAAAGAACCCUUAGAAGGGAGUGAAAUAGACCCUGAAACCGGUUGCUUACAAGCGGUGGGAGCCUUCGGGUGACCGCGUGCCUUUUGCAUAAUGAGCCUACGAGUUAUUCUUCACUAGCGAGGAUAAGGAUUUCAGAUCCGCAUCCGAAGCGAAAGCGAGUAUUAAUAGUGCGAUCUAGUUAGUGGAGAUAGACGCGAAACCCGGUGAUCUACCCAUGGCCAGGUUGAAGCCUCAGUAAAAUGAGGUGGAGGACCGAACCAAUAGACGUUGAAAAGUCUUUGGAUGAGCUGUGGGUAGGGGUGAAAGGCCAAUCAAACCGGGAAAUAGCUCGUUCUCCCCGAAAUGCAUUUAGGUGCAGCCUCGGAGUUGAGUAUAUUGGAGGUAGAGCUACUGAUUGGGCUAGGGGGCUUCACCGCCUACCAAACCCUGACAAACUCCGAAUGCCAAUAUAUAUAUCCGGGAGUGAGGGCAUGGGUGCUAAGGUCCAUGUCCGAGAGGGAAAGAACCCAGACCAUCAGCUAAGGUCCCAAAAUAUAUGUUAAGUUGAAUAAACGAGGUUGAACUGCUUAGACAGCUAGGAUGUUGGCUUGGAAGCAGCCAU